Molecule: long non-coding RNA, 1164 nt
Filed under: Anas platyrhynchos platyrhynchos (common mallard)
Lineage: Eukaryota; Metazoa; Chordata; Aves; Anseriformes; Anatidae
Description: lncRNA (ENSAPLG00000025275.1)
Source: RNAcentral
AUGAGAGCAGCAUGCAGAUGCUGUGAACAUUGGAGAAGUGAAACACAGAAAUCAACUGUUCUGCCAUGCUCCGGAGCAAAGAUCACUGAUCCUCCCUGGUUUAAGGGCCAAAAAUACCCUGCAGGUCGGAAGGUUAAAAAAGUCUGCUGUUCAAAACUAGCCAAAGUCAACAAAAAGGCAACUAAAGGUGUGCCUCCCAAGUUGGCUCCAGUGCAAAUAAGGAAACACUGCAAGCCUUGUGCUCAGCCAGACCCUCUGCGGAUUCCUGGACCCCUUCCGCGGUUAAAAUAAGACUGAGCAGGGUGAAGAAAAGCAUCUGCCUGCCAGCACAUCUCACAGUGCUUCACUUGGUUGAGGGUCUUCCUUUUACAGAUAGGGCCUGAAUGUAUGCUAUUCUUUUUUUAGCUGGGAGGGGCUUCAGUCAAUAAUGCUUACUCAGUCCCCCAGGCUCCUUCAUCUUGUUAACAUUAACCUGCCAUCUAAAGAGACAGGUAAAACUGUCUGGCUGCUACUGGAUUUUUUCAGUUGCAUGUUCCUCUGUACCAAACAGGGAUUUAGCUCCCCAAACAAGACAGAUGAGAGCUGGCUGUAUCGCUUUGGACUGCAUUUUCAGAUGGGGAAGGGCUGAAGUUACUGUCUCUAGUUAUCAGUAUAUAUAUAUUUAACCUUUUAUAUGAAUAACUUCUUUUAUAUAGACAAAUGGAUUUUCUUUGUAGCUAGGCACAUGAUGAAUUUGUUCCUGCAACAUUUGCUCUCAGUGCUUAAAAUCCACUUGGAAGUGGAUUUCUAUCAAGUGAGAAUGAACUUAUGAUUUAGAAAGGGUUGAGAAACUAGAUUCCAAUAGUUGGGAAGGACCAGAGGACCAGAUUCAAGUACAGUGGCAAGCAUUUUAAUGUCUGGAGUAGGGGAGGGAAAAACACCUGUUCUUUAACUUCCCAGAAGAAUGUCAUCGGCUGGUUAUUAAAAGGCAUUCUGGAAAGGUGUAAGGCUAGUCAGAUUAUUUUUUUUCCUCCUGAAGCCAGAAGGCAAUUGUUCUUUCAAGGCACUUGAGUUGUGUGAUCAUGCCGAUAAACAAAAUUCACUGGAGUAUGAAAUUAAACAAAUGUUAAGAAUAAUACCAAAGGGCUGAAUAAAAGAGAAAGAGAAAUGCUCCCUGCUAAUACA